This 524-nucleotide ribosomal RNA is filed under the name uncultured bacterium. RNAcentral's name for it is "partial 16S ribosomal RNA". It matches the Rfam family "Bacterial small subunit ribosomal RNA", at positions 28 to 523 of the family's 1533-position model. The record is from RNAcentral.
GACGAACGCUGGCGGCGUGCCUAAUACAUGCAAGUCGAACGAAGCUGUUUUAACUGGUGCUUGCACCGACUUAAACAACUGAGUGGCGAACGGGUGAGUAACACGUGGGUAACCUGCCCCAAAGCGGGGGAUAACAUUUGGAAACAGAUGCUAAUACCGCAUAACCACAGAAACCACAUGGUUUCUGUGUCAAAGAUGGUUUCGGCUAUCACUUUGGGAUGGACCCGCGGCGUAUUAGCUAGUUGGUAAGGUAAUGGGUUACCAAGGCAAUGAUCCGUAGCCGAACUGAGAGGUUGAUCGGCCACAUUGGGACUGAGACACGGCCCAAACUCCUACGGGAGGAAGCAGUAGGGAAUCUUCCACAAUGGACGAAAGUCUGAUGGAGCAACGCCGCGUGAGUGAAGAAGGUUUUCGGAUCGUAAAACUCUGUUGUCAGAGAAGAACGUGUGCGAGAGUAACUGUUCGUGCAGUGACGGUAUCUGGCCAGAAAGCCACGGCUAACUACGUGCCAGCCGCCGCCGUAA